CUCUGCGCACGCGCGGCCGCCGGGCCCGCGGGGCUCUUAAAGGCGCCGCGUCCCCGGGACCGACCUCCCCGGUAACCGGGAUGGAGGCGGCUGCCCCGGCCCCGGGCUGGCGCUGCCGGCCGGGCGGGCGGCUCGACAUGAGCCACGGCUUCGUGCGGCACAUCCGCCGCAACCAGCUCGCCAGGGACGCUUACGACCGCGCCGUGCGGCAGGCGCGGGGCCGGGCGCGCACCCGGCUCACCCCGAACCCGCCCCGGCCCCGCCGGCCCGACCAGCAGGUGUACCGGCCCCGGGGCUGCGGUGCCACAGGGGGUCCCGGGGGCGAUGCCAGUGCGGGGCCCCCCCCCGGCGACCCCCGCGGGGCCCCCCCUGACCCCUCCCGGGGGCCACGGCUCUUCUGCCUCGAGUACGAGGGGGACGACGGGACCGUCACGGCCGUGAUCGUGCACCAGGAGGACAGCGCGGAGGAGGUGACGCGCCGGGUGUGCGCCCGCAGCCCCCUGGAGCCCCCCCUGCGCAGGGCCCUGUGCCAGCGCGUGCAGGACGAGCUCAGCAAGCGCCGGGGCACGGGCUGACCCUGCCACACCCCCCAGGGGACACGGGCACCCCCCCGGGACGGUGCCACCCCCCCAGGGACCGGUGCCACCCCCGCCGGUGUCAAUAAAGGGUCUCCCUCGAGUGGGUCCAGCACAUUUGUUAUUGUAGGGUCUCCAUGAAGAUCAUCCUGCUGGUUUGUUAUUGUAGGGUUUCUCCAAAUAAAUCCUGGUGGUUAUCUA
Molecule: RNA transcript, 776 nt
Organism: Pseudopipra pipra
Lineage: Eukaryota; Metazoa; Chordata; Aves; Passeriformes; Pipridae
Gene: C28H2orf68
Gene name: chromosome 28 C2orf68 homolog
Exons: 5
Source: RefSeq, a predicted model, not a curated record